AUUGAACGCUGGCGGCAGGCCUAACACAUGCAAGUCGAACGGUAACAGAAAGCAGCUUGCUGCUUUGCUGACGAGUGGCGGACGGGUGAGUAAUGUCUGGGAAACUGCCUGAUGGAGGGGGAUAACUACUGGAAACGGUAGCUAAUACCGCAUAACGUCGCAAGACCAAAGAGGGGGACCUUCGGGCCUCUUGCCAUCGGAUGUGCCCAGAUGGGAUUAGCUAGUAGGUGGGGUAAAGGCUCCUAGGCGACGAUCCCUAGCUGGUCUGAGAGGAUGACCAGCCACACUGGAACUGAGACACGGUCCAGACUCCUACGGGAGGCAGCAGUGGGGAAUAUUGCACAAUGGGCGCAAGCCUGAUGCAGCCAUGCCGCGUGUAUGAAGAAGGCCUUCGGGUUGUAAAGUACUUUCAGCGGGGAGGAAGGGAGUAAAGUUAAUACCUUUGCUCAUUGACGUUACCCGCAGAAGAAGCACCGGCUAACUCCGUG
RNAcentral lists this ribosomal RNA (488 nucleotides) under uncultured bacterium. RNAcentral describes it as "partial 16S ribosomal RNA". It matches the Rfam family "Bacterial small subunit ribosomal RNA", at positions 30 to 507 of the family's 1533-position model. The record is from RNAcentral.